CCUGAUUAUAGAAGAGAACAAUUUUUCAUUCUCCUUGAAAGCGAGUCUUCUUUAUACACAGAUGACAAGUUCACUAACUCAGUAGAAAUAAGACUUCAGAAAGAAAUAUUAAAUUUUAAUGUUUCCUCAGAGUGAUGUAAACCUAAAGACAUUUUUUUAGGAUGAAUGAAUGAGUUUAUGCUCACCGAUCUCUCAAUCUGUGGUGAAUAUUCUUUUGGAAAAACCAACAUGGUGCAAAUCUUUUGGUUUAUAAAACUAGCUGUAAACGUCAUCACACCAGCUUGGAACUGAAAGGAU
RNAcentral lists this long non-coding RNA (297 nucleotides) under Homo sapiens (human). Its description in RNAcentral is "non-protein coding lnc-ARHGAP10-2:1". Lineage: Eukaryota; Metazoa; Chordata; Mammalia; Primates; Hominidae. The record is from RNAcentral.